This 248-nucleotide ribosomal RNA is filed under the name uncultured bacterium. Its description in RNAcentral is "partial 16S ribosomal RNA". It matches the Rfam family "Bacterial small subunit ribosomal RNA", at positions 523 to 769 of the family's 1533-position model. The record is from RNAcentral.
AUACGGAGGAUCCGAGCGUUAUCCGGGAUUUAUUGGGUUUAAAGGGUGCGUAGGCGGGAUAAUAAGUCAGUGGUGAAAGUUUGCAGCUUAACUGUAAAAUUGCCGUUGAAACUGUUAUUCUUGAGAGUAGAUAAGGUAGGCGGAAUGUGUUGUGUAGCGGUGAAAUGCAUAGAUAUAACACAGAACCCCGAUUGCGAAGGCAGCUUACCGGGCUACAUCUGACGCUGAUGCACGAAAGCGUGGGGAUC